AUCGUCACUUUUACACCUCCUGGCGAACCUCCGCCGCAAGGGAGUCCGGGUGAAGGGGAGAGUGGCUGCGUCUCCCAGCAUCGGCGGAGGAACUGAAGGGCGGGUGAAGGACCUCGUGAGAAGGGAGUUGGGCUGUGACUUUGAGAUGGAAGCUGAAGAAGACAUCUGGAGAUAUUAGUAAAGACUGUGAUGCCAGAUGCAGAUGAAGGGAGGCGACCAGUGCUAAACCUCAUCAUGUGGGAGACCUUCACCUCUGAUUUGGUCGUAGCACCAUGUUGAGAUAUUUUCUUAGUUUGUAUAUAUAAUGUGUAGUUACACAUACUUCAUACAGUUAAUAUAAAGGUUUAUUUACUGUCUAGUGAUUGAAAUAUAUUUUUACAAUAUUAUUUUACCAAGGUAUUAAAUGGCAUAUUUUUAGAAUAUUCUUAGGGUAUUAUCCAAAAGAAAAAUGUACAUUUUGAGAAAGAUUUUUUCCUUAAUUUAAGAGAGAGUUGUUAGUUACAUAUUCUAGUGUUUAGUUUGAAGUAUUACCUUUUGAGUGUGGCAUUUGGUAUCUUUCAUGCUUCUCUUUAGUAUGGAUCAUUUAUAUAUGUCAGGAGCCAUUCCCCAUUCAGGAAUUUGGCCCCUGGUACUAUAAAAGAUUUCUGGGCUGAUGAAACAGGUUUAUAUUGAUGUGGAUUAAUUUUCCUUUCAUAGUUAGAUAACUUGUUCCCAUUGUUUCUUGUGUGAAUAUUGGACCAAUAAAUGAUAAGAAAGAC
This is a non-coding RNA of Penaeus vannamei (Pacific white shrimp), 758 nucleotides long. NCBI's taxonomy places the organism in Eukaryota, Metazoa, Arthropoda, Malacostraca, Decapoda, Penaeidae. The record is from RefSeq and is a predicted model, not a curated record.